RNAcentral lists this ribosomal RNA (567 nucleotides) under Salmonella enterica subsp. enterica serovar Enteritidis. RNAcentral's name for it is "partial 23S ribosomal RNA". It matches the Rfam family "Bacterial large subunit ribosomal RNA", at positions 1 to 599 of the family's 2925-position model. Lineage: Bacteria; Pseudomonadati; Pseudomonadota; Gammaproteobacteria; Enterobacterales; Enterobacteriaceae. The record is from RNAcentral.
GGGUUGUGAGGUUAAGCGACUAAGCGUACACGGUGGAUGCCCUGGCAGUCAGAGGCGAUGAAGGGCGUGCUAAUCUGCGAUAAGCGCCGGUAAGGUGAUAUGAACCGUUAUAACCGGCGAUACCCGAAUGGGGAAACCCAGUGUGAUUCGUCACACUAUCAUUAACUGAAUCCAUAGGUUAAUGAGGCGAACCGGGGGAACUGAAACAUCUAAGUACCCCGAGGAAAAGAAAUCAACCGAGAUUCCCCCAGUAGCGGCGAGCGAACGGGGAGGAGCCCAGAGCCUGAAUCAGCAUGUGUGUUAGUGGAAGCGUCUGGAAAGGCGCGCGAUACAGGGUGACAGCCCCGUACACAAAAGCGCAUGUGCUGUGAGCUCGAUGAGUAGGGCGGGACACGUGGUAUCCUGUCUGAAUAUGGGGGGACCAUCCUCCAAGGCUAAAUACUCCUGACUGACCGAUAGUGAACCAGUACCGUGAGGGAAAGGCGAAAAGAACCCCGGCGAGGGGAGUGAAAAAGAACCUGAAACCGUGUACGUACAAGCAGUGGGAGCACCCUUUGGGUGUGACUG